Molecule: ribosomal RNA, 428 nt
Filed under: Uloborus walckenaerius
Lineage: Eukaryota; Metazoa; Arthropoda; Arachnida; Araneae; Uloboridae
Description: partial 16S ribosomal RNA
Source: RNAcentral
CUCUAAUAGAUUUAAUUAUUGGUAAAAUCUGCUCAAUGAAUUUUAAAUAGCCGCAACUAUAUUGUGCUAAGGUAGCAUAAUCAUUUGUCUUCUAAUUAAAGACUAGAAUGAAAGAUCCAACAUUUAUAUUUAUAUUUUAAUAACUUAUUUUAAAUUAUCUUAAUAUAAAAAGAUAUUUAUUUAUAAAAAAGACGAUAAGACCGAAUUGAACUUUACUAUAGUUUAACUGGGGUAGUAAUAAUUAUUAUUUAAUUUCUUUUUAUAAAAAAUCCUGAUAAAAAUCAAAAAGAUUAAGUUACCAUAGAGAUAACAGCGUAAUAAUUUUUUCAAGCUCUUAUUUUAAAAAUAACUUGCGAACUCGAUGUUGAAUUAAUAGCCUAAUAAAUGCAACAAAUUAAUAAGGAAGUCUGUUCGACUUUUAAUUAAUU